RNAcentral lists this ribosomal RNA (422 nucleotides) under uncultured bacterium. RNAcentral describes it as "bacterial SSU rRNA". It matches the Rfam family "Bacterial small subunit ribosomal RNA", at positions 359 to 773 of the family's 1533-position model. The record is from RNAcentral.
GAAUUGUUCACAAUGGGCGCAAGCCUGAUGACGCAACGCCGCGUGGGGGAUGAAGGUCUUCGGAUUGUAAACCCCUGUCGAAUGGGACGAAUGGCCUCCGGGCUAAUCACCGGAGGAAUGACGGUACCGUUAAAGGAAGCCACGGCUAACUCUGUGCCAGCAGCCGCGGUAAUACAGAGGUGGCAAGCGUUAAUCGGAAUUACUGGGCGUAAAGCGUGCGCAGGCGGUUAUGUAAGACAGGUGUGAAAUCCCCGGGCUUAACCUGGGAACUGCAUUUGUGACUGCAUAGCUAGAGUACGGUAGAGGGGGAUGGAAUUCCGCGUGUAGCAGUGAAAUGCGUAGAUAUGCGGAGGAACACCGAUGGCGAAGGCAAUCCCCUGGACCUGUACUGACGCUCAUGCACGAAAGCGUGGGGAGCAAAC